Molecule: ribosomal RNA, 468 nt
Filed under: uncultured bacterium
Lineage: Bacteria
Description: partial 16S ribosomal RNA
Rfam family: Bacterial small subunit ribosomal RNA
Source: RNAcentral
GACGAACGCUGGCGGCGUGCUUAACACAUGCAAGUCGAACGGAAAGGCCCUGCUUUUGUGGGGUUCUCGAGUGGCUAACGGGUGAGUAACACGUGAGUAACCUGCCCUUGACUUUGGGAUAACUUCAGUAAACUGGGGCUAAUACCGGAUAGGAUCUCCUGCUGCAUGGUGGUGGUUGGAAAGUUUCGGCGGUUGGGGAUGGACUCGCGGCUUAUCAGCUUGUUGGUGGGGUAGUGGCUUACCAAGGCUUUGACGGGUAGCCGGCCUGAGAGGGUGACCGGCCAAAGUGGGACUGAGAUACGGCCCAGAAUGCAAGGGGAGGCAGCAGUGGGGAAUAGUGCACGAUGGGCGGAAGCCUGAUGCAGCAACGCCGCGGGCGGGAUGACGGCCGUCGGGUUGUAAACCGAUUUAGGCUGUGACGAAGCGUGAGUGACGGUAAUGGGUAAAGAAGCACCGGCUAACUACGUG